CAAAUUUCACCAGAAUUUAGCAAGAAUAGAUUUGGAGGGGGAGAGGAGGGGAACCAGUAUAUUGCAGCUUCCUAUGGUAGAAGACUAGAGAGUCAAUAAUCUUGUUGCAAAACUCAGCUGAUCAUAAAGUGAAGGACCAAUGACACAAACAGGAAGAAAGUGUGAUUGGGGAGGUAAACAGUGGAGGCCGCUGAAUGUAAAUGUUUAGCUCUGUUAGGAGCCUGCAGUGAGAGUGGCUGGAAGACUUAUUGCUCCCAUGCAGAGGUGGGUAACAAUGGAUUUGCUGCACAGGGCAUCCGUAGGAUGUUAGGAAUUGAAAUUGACACAAUCACCUGAAUCCAAAUCACAGCACUGGCAGGACCUGGGCAACACAAGCAAAGCUAAACUUCAUCCCCUUGUGACUAAAGGGCUUAAAAGCAGAAGCAGGAGAGGCAACUGUCGGCAUCUGGCUAGUUAUAUGGAGAGAAGGUAACCAGGAGGAUGAAGCAACCAGUUGAGAAAACACAUCUGUUGCAUGGAACAGCUUACAGUAAUUACGAGCAGUGGCUAACAGAGGGCUGGAUCCUCAGCUGGUGUAAAAUGACGUCGCUCCACUGAAGUCAAUGGCACUUCCCCAAUUUACUCCAUAACAAUCUUUAUACAGAAGAAAGAACCUUUCACACCAGACACACACAGAAGUAUUAAUUCCAAAGAAAAAGAACAUGGACAAGAUUCUUCCUUUUUUCCAUGUGUGUAAAUGCAAAGCAAGACAACUGAUGUCAGCGGUCACACUGUAUGGGGUCAGAAUUGGACUCCAGUUCUCUCAGAUUAUAAAAUAACUCAUCAGGGUAUAAAUUACACUAAAAAGAACUUGUCUCUGCCAGGCAGGUACUGGUUGGGAAACCAUCUUUCUAUUUUAACAGCUCAGCAAAGAAUAUUUCAGACAAUGACAAACCACCUAUUUCUAUAGACUGUGACAGGGUCAGGCCAGAUGGCUACAGAAGGGUGAGAGAAAGUAGAUACAUUAGCCCCAGAUUAAGCAGGUCCCUUUUCCCUGAGUAAGAUAAUAGGCUGUUCCAGAACA
This is a non-coding RNA of Chrysemys picta bellii (western painted turtle), 1063 nucleotides long. NCBI's taxonomy places the organism in Eukaryota, Metazoa, Chordata, Testudines, Emydidae. The record is from RefSeq and is a predicted model, not a curated record.